This is a long non-coding RNA of Onychostoma macrolepis, 7782 nucleotides long. RefSeq lists it as uncharacterized. The transcript is spliced from 3 exons. The record is from RefSeq and is a predicted model, not a curated record. NCBI's taxonomy places the organism in Eukaryota, Metazoa, Chordata, Actinopteri, Cypriniformes, Cyprinidae.
UAUUCAAACAUGCCCAUUUUCUCCAUACCAAACAAACAAUCCUGACGGUCUCCAGGCACACUAAAACACACAGGUGGCUUUGAUUUGGACUUGAAAAACACAAUAGUUUGAAUUUAGUUGGAUUUUAUAAAUGCUAUAAUGGAAAUGGGUGCUAUAGGUGCAUGCGGAGAACGGGUGAAAUAUAGAAUGGCCUAUUCGCUGACGAAACUGAAGUAUUUUUUCACGCUCCAGGCCAUAGACAAAUUUGUGUAGGAUAUAGAAACUGCAAGUUGUGGAAAAACAGCAAGCCUCCGACUGUAGAUUUAAUAUCAUGGGUUUUCCGACAAAUCCAGCUUCGUAAACAAGACUUUAGAGGACCAAUACCGAGGCUGCCGCAAUCACAGCUUGAGCCGUGAAGCUAACAGCGAAAACAGCCAAUUUAGGAAAAGAGGGAGACUCUGAGCGUGACCUUUCCGUUGGAUGGAUGGAAUAGAGGAGGAGUGUAAUAGGAGGCAUCCAGCACUACGUGAUGGAGGAGACACUUCUGCAUUGGAAGGGAAGGACGGGGGCUGGGGGGAGGGGGGAGGCGUCCUCUGCAGAUCUUUAAAACUUUCGCGUAAGCGCCCAGGUGUCGGGAUCUAGAGAAAAAUGGACUGUCAGCGGAGGAGGGAGAGAAGAGAGGGAUGGGGUGGGCAGGUGGAUUGCUGACAGCUCUUCGUGUAGUGUUAUCUGGGGCAUGGGUCUGUAAUUUAAAAAAAGAGCCUCAUGGGAUUUUUUUUUUUUUUUUAAUCUCAUGUGCCACCUUGGUUUUAGUUUUAGUGAGGACCGCAGGGUGUAACAAAACACUUUUAUUGUUCUGGUGAUGAAACAUCAGUGUACAUUCAGCUUAAACGUGAUGUGUAUUUGUUCUCUAAUGAAACAACAUAUCUGCAUGAACCAAUCCAGACCUUUAGAUCCACAUGCUGAAUCGUUCAAAAACAAGAAGCAGGAUGACACAGCCAAAUGAUGCAUCAGAAUUUUGGUGCAUCAUUCACAGUAAGGUUUAAAAAGCGCUCACUGUUACUCUGGUUACAGAGGACAGAUCAAUGUCCGCGGGCGACAGAAGGGAGAGGACAGACUAUAAAUGAAUUCAUCUUCUGUUUUCACUGACCUUUUCUCAAAGCUCACAGGAAUCAAAAAUGGAAUACGUAACAAUGGAGAAAUAGCUUUUUGUUCUCUUUCUCUCUCUGUCUUAUUUUCUCUCUCUUCCUUCUUUUUGUAUGUUUCUUUUGUUGAGAAAAUAAAACUACUCAAACUGCUGUUGUUCAUAGCAAUUAAACAAUGUCAGCAAACACACAAAUUAAAUUAACGCUGGUUUCUUUAAAUCAUUUGUCAGAUGUGCUAGAAGCACAGUUUGUAGGAUGUAAGGUAAGUUAUCUGAAGGCUUUUUCCCUUGAUAUAUUUACUUCUUAGAUUAACUUUUCGACUCGCUCUCUUUCUCUCUCUCUCACACACACAUAAACAGACACACACACACACUAAAUAUACUGAGGAGAAAGAAUCAGAUAAUCUGCUUUUUUUUCUUCUACAAAAUAUCUACCAAUAUUAAAUACCCCAUGAAAUCCAAAUGAGAGUUCUGUGGUAUUAGUCUACUAUGUAUGUUAGCUUUGAGGCCAUCUAUAUGCUAAUGUUCUCCUAAACAUUGGCAAAAUGACUUUUAGCAGAUAUACGCAUUUAAAAAUACUGUAUCUUUCUCUUCAGGGAAAAUGGACUGAUAAUGUUGAUGAUAAAACAUUCCUGUUUUCUGUUUAGGCUAAUACGUUAACAUGUCAGAAAACUGCAGCUGACGAACGACUUCAUGGGGUUUUUAAAAACCUCGUUUUAGCUUAGCAUAAGUCCGCCAUUAACUUAACCACAGUAGCCAAGGCAAAAAUAAAAAAGUAAAUAAAUAAAGUAAAACAGAGAUGUCACCUCACCCUCUGAAAUCAAAAAAGUCUCCCACGCUUUUCUUUUCUGCUCUGCUAAUGGUCAAUAAAUCGUCCACUUCAUACACGGUUGUUUGACGUUAUUGGUCAAACAACUCAUACUUAACCCAAACAGGAGCCACACUGGACUCGGAAGCAUCUCGCACAAUCAUUUCCAUGCACCUACAGCCUGUAUCACACAACCUUGUGGCAGAUAAUCGACAUCACAGAAGCACUGUUAAAACAGAGUGCCUGCCACAAAAUGGAGGUCACCCUCAGCGGCUAUACACUGUAUAUGUGAAUUUAUGAUCUUGCUGUUUUUGCCACACAUGGGGUUCAAAGCCAAGGAAAGGAGGAUUUCAUCUUGUUCUUCCAGUAUAUUUUCUGUUUACUCAUACCUCUCAGGUAGAGGUAGCCGGGGAAUAACCUUUUCCUUCAUUCAUUUUUUAAGCUCCUUUUACAAAACAGCAUGACUGGUAAGUAACCCUAGACUAAAUCCCCUAAAAAAAAAAUCUCAGAUUGAGAAACAAACUAAUUUGUACUUAAUAGAGUCUCCGGGUGGAGGGUCCAAGUCUCCUUAAUGUUCGCAGAGGUCGCUGCACUUGCCCAAGACUCCAACCCUCCUGUGCACUGAACUGCUGGAGGGGAUGUGAGCUGUCAGAACCCAUUCAGGUACGCAGCUUCAUACAUUUCUUGUAUCUUAACGUCAGGUCAGUAAAGUUCUCUGUGUGUAUUGAUUUUUAUUUUUCUCUCCCCGUGUUUUGCGUGGGCUCCCCUCCUCAGUGGGACACCUCCUCCAGAGCCCUCGGGUCAGACUGCCACUCCGGCAGAUCAAUCAGGGCAGUAAUGUGGGACGGCAUGCGCCAAGACUGCUCCGCUCCGUCACCAUCGAUCCGCAUCUACUUUACCAAAUGGAUUUUCCCUCCCUCCCUUCUCUCAUUGAGUACCUCUCUCUCCCUCUUAUUCUUCCUCUGAGGGACUUUGGAUAAUAAAUGCCUCAGUAUAAAAGCAAUUUUUCAUUUAACUUUUGCUUGACACAUUUUCUUCUUCCCUCUCUAGAUGAAGUCCGGUUUUAUGUUACGCCAGAUCGAUAGAAGCUUCCAAGGCGGUUCUCCCAUAAUUUAUCUGCCUUUCUCCCCUGGGUGAUGGUGAUGGGCCUGGUCCAGCCAGGACGUUAGCGGAUAGCAGAGGACCACACCCUGAUCACAUUACCCCGUCAUUAGAGCAAGCCUCAUUUGAUCAGUAAUGAAGGCUGCUGUUCAUUUGGCCCAUGCCUCGUGUUCUUUCUUAGCGUCUGUUUCUCAGAGAUGGGUUCCUUGCUCCUGUCUAAGAGUCCAAUGAAUAUCUCAGAGGAAUUACUCCGACCUUUUGCCAUUCAAAGGCGGGAUUCGCUUCCUGGGGUGACUCAGGGUGACUGUAUAAUGACAGUUCUGUGGAGUAAUAGGCAAGGUUGAAUACAGGCCACUGCAGAAACAUAAACACCCAAAUGCUGAAAGCCGUGAUCACAGUGAUUCGCAAAUGUAUGAUGCUUGAGCAGUUUUAUGUUAAUAAAAAAUUAGGAUUUUUAAGCAGUUCAAUUUUAGGUCAGCACAUUGUAAAUACAUUUAAAAUGUUAAUACAUGAUUUUCCUAGCUUCAGAUGAUAUAGCCUACAAGAUAUAAUAAAGCAAGUCUUCUCUUUUUUUAAAAAAGCACUAUCCAGCUUUUUUUAGAUUGUCCAAAUUGAAAUCAUUUAAGCUGAAAAAAAAAAAAAAAUCCAUUUCUCACUUAAAUGCCUGGAUGAUGGAGAGAUGAUUGAUUGUCUGAGGGUUUAAUUGCUUGAAACCAUUAUCAGAGAUUUUAAAUAAUGAAAAAUACAUGAAUACAGAUUGACACAGCAAGCAUUUGAGGUUAGGUAAAAAAUUUUGGUUCUGAAUCCUAAAACUCUUGUAAGAAAAGAAAGAAAGGAAAAGGAGGAGAUAGGAGGAGAAAAUGUGAGGGUGUAUGUGGGGGGCGGCAGCAUCAGUGACACAGGCCGUGUUUUUCCUUUGGGCUACGGGCCUGGUGAAACACCUGCGUCUCUCCCUACCCACUCUCUCCAAAUCUCGCAACGUUGACCUCAUCAGCUGACCCCACUCUCUUUCUCUCUCACUCUCUCUAUCCACCGUCGCUCCUUUGCAGUCCCCCCCCCCCUCUCUCAUUCUGGAUGAAUGGCUGUAUUUUCUCUCAGUGCGUGGGAUCUCCUUGGCCUUAAAUUAACCUCUCUCGCAGAUCUUCUGUGGAGACGAAUUAGCGCCCAACGUGACAGUGCGGCUAAUGUGUUGGUGAGGGUUCAGUAGAGUUUUCAAAUAAAAAAAAACUUCAAUGCUGUGCUGAUGAACUGCAAUGCAAAAAUUAAUGUUUUCAUGAAGUUACACAACUGCGGUACAUGCUGAUAACGAUUAAAAAACAAACAAACACGCCCAUGAUAGCACGAAAAAGUCAAAUAUAGCUGAAUUUCUCGACUGCAUGUUUGCGUUUUGCAUAAUCCACUAUCUAGUCCAUGCUGCCACGGGGCCGCUGGCUCCGUUAGCCGCUGGUAGCGGCCCAGCUCACUGCCAAGGCGAGCAGAAAAUUGGUGAGCAUCUUGAUUCAGGGAUGACACUUAAAUUUGUGUGGCUCCAGUGACCAGUUCUAUCCUCAGGCUCCGGAUGGAAAUAUGAGAGAGUUUGGCCUUCUGCCUGCUCUAUCACGGCCCACAGGACUCGCGUCCUUCAGGCAGUAUGGGGUAAGCGGCCUGCUGGGCCUGGCUUUGCGAGCAUACACAUACACACCCAGUGGCGUGUCACCGACAUAGUCCAGCCCCUGGCCAUCUCUGUGAUAUCUCCCGUGGACACGAACGCUGCCUGUGACGCGGAGAGGCCUUCGCUAUCAGACGUGAGGCUCUUGUGUCAUAUUAAAGCAGAUUUGACGGGGGAGUAUUUGGUGGAUGUGUCUUUAAAAUCACUCAGAUCUGUGUUACGAAACACGCUUUAGUGCAGGGCGAUGAUCAAAGUGAGACAGGGGAGUUCUUUGGGUGUGUGCGCGUGUUGUCCUUGGCUGUCAACUAGCCUCAGACCACGAGUUGAUUGUCAGUGACAGGCUCAGAGAUACACUGCCCACCCCCACACGCUCUUUCUUUUUCACAUACCCUUCCGCUCGUUCUAUCUAACCCCUUCACAUAUUAUAGAUAUGGCACUAGUGCCUCCUACCAUCGGGGGACUUCUGCAUUACAAUAAAGGUGACCUUGCCAUGUCUGCAUGAGGAAAUUUCUGAGCAACACUAGGAGUGGGCGGUAUGACCAAAGUAUUACAUCAAGUAUGCAGGCUGUGUCAGCUCCAGGUGGGGCGUUGACAUGGCUGUAGGUAGCUGGCAGGUGGCAGAACAGUGCUGCACCUGCGCCAGGCAGAGAGAGAGAGAGAGAGAGAGAGAGAGAGCACAUUCUUGUUCCUCCGCGCCCUGGAAACUAUGCAUACUGUGCACUCCUGAACCUCUCCGGCUAACAAGCUGCUUUACCAACUACAAAUCACAUUGAGGCUAUAUAGAUGAGUUUUAAAGCUGCGCUUGGGAGCCCUUGGUGAGUAUUGCCGUGAGUGUGGAGAGCUGGUAAAAUGAGGAUGAAUGUGUUUUGUUAUGCGGAGUGUGAAACCCAGCUAAAGACCUUGCACCAUAUAUUUGUCUUUUAAUUAUUUCUUCUGUUUAAGCUUGUCAUGCAAUGUUUGCUCAUUAUAGAGAAACAUUAAAAGCUUUACAAAUAGCCUGAAAGUAGAUGUGUGUGUUUGUGUGUGAGGGGAGCGUAAGGAAAGGAAGACGUGCAGGUAAGGAAGCUAACUGCAGUCUCAAGUUCCUGAGAGGAUGAGGUGGGCUUCUGAACACACAUUGAGCUUUCCUUCUCUCUCUAUUUUUCACUCUAACAAACCACACACAUGAGCUCUGGCUAAUCCAAUCUCAGCCUCCUCAUCUUCCUGCAGCCUCUUUCUCAAAGUCCCUUUCUCCACACUCUCUCUUUUCCAAAACAUUAGCUCUUAUUUUCCCCAUUUCCAUUCCAACACAACACACAAUUCCUCCAUCAAUCUCUCUUCUCAUUCCCCUGUGGUGUUUUGUUUUCCCUUACCUUCUGCAUGUUUUUAACCAUUUUUUCUUCACCAGCAUUGGACUUCUCUUUGCACCAACAAACACACCUAAUUUUCUGCCUCUUUUCAUUCUACAGGGAAGAACUACAGUCUGACAGAACUACAGGGAAAUGAAAAAUCCAAUCCUUUAAAUGGAAAGCGUGAAGACUAUUUCGGUUGAUGGAGGCCUAAUGGAAUAAAUGCCUUGCUUCUCGGAGAAGAAAAAAAAAGCAGGGUGUGUUUGUGUAAGGGAAGACAUUUGCUCCCGGACAAGACAGCAACUUCUGCUAAAGGUCUGCUCUCACCUCUAAUCAGCCUAACUCCUCUUGACAGCAAGAUAACAAUAUCCACAACCCGAGCGGAUCUACAGGGGCAAGAUUUCACGCGAAGCAAUCCCUUCAUGAAAUGCCAACGGCAGUAUCUAUGGUUACUGUUGUGGGGAAGAUGGUUUUUGUGGGCCACCCCGUUUGCCCUUUCUCAGUCAGGGUUCGUUGCGGGAGCUGCCCUACCUCGUACGCUCCAUAACCCUUCUCUGCUGUGACCUUUGACCUCCGGGCACUGAUAUUCAGAGAGCUCAACUAACUUUGACAUUUAUACCCAUGUUCCCUUUCUCGUCUCAUUUCUUCUCAUUGUAUCCUAUUUUUACCCACGGGAAACGAGCAAAAAUAAAUUCUCUCCUCAAGUGUGCUCUCUUGAAUGCCAUAUCAGCCAUUAUUACGCCACAUUAUGCAAUUUUAUUUAAUGCAUCGGUCAUUUUAGUAACAAAGCUAUGGGUUGUAAAGGUUUUGAGGUUUAGAUUUCCGUGUGAUUGUGUGAGGCGAGCCACCGUAAUGCGAAUGACCUUGAGAUGUCCUUUAGCAUUACAGGAGGCAGGUCAGUUAAUUGGCUAAUGGGCAGGAGAGAAAACGCGACUGCGUUUGCAAUAGUGCAAGCAAAGACUCGCCUGCUACUGCUGUCUUUUCCUGGGGUGCAAAAUGUAGAUCAGAGAAAUGUGCAGUUUGUGCACAGUCUCGAGAGAGCCUGCCACUCAAAUCCGAACGUCUGUAUGAAUACCAAAACACACAGGCAGAGAGAGAGAGAGAGGGAGGGGGAGCCAGGAGAAGGAAUGAAACAAAGAAAGUGGGAUGGAGGAUGAGGGAGGUCGGAAGCUAGAAUGAUAGGGGAUAAGAGCCAGCUUGAAAGAAAUGGGCGGUAAUGCGCUUCUUUUACCUUUCUCUAUUUUAUCUUGUGAUCAACUCUAACUAACAAUCACUGUUUGUGAUCGAGUCUCUGGCGAACAUAUUAUUUUAUAUAUAUAUAUAUAUAUGCAAUAUGUAUCUGGAGAGAGGCAUCUGUCAUUGUGCCAGGACGAGUGGUGUGUUGUGUUGGUAAGCAGGUUGUGUGUGCUGUGUAUAUUCGGCUGAUUAUCGUCUGUCUGUGCGUGGCACUUUGAAUUUGCGCCAGAGGAAUUAUUAUGCUUGCGCUUGUGAAGCCUGCUUGCUCCCUCUCUCCUUCUUGCUCUCUGCUCAGCUUUCUGCUAGGAAAAUGAGGAUGAAUCAAACUGAGAAAUCACUGUGGACGCCUAUUAAAAUUUAAACCUGAACAUUUUGUUGCUAUUCAUGUAUAUUUAGCUUUGACAUAAUAAAAGGCCUCUUAGUGAAAGCAUAUUAUUAAGAUUAUAUCAGAUUAUUAUUCAUAGCACAUUGUUUAAUCUUACCUAAACCUUAUUAAUACAUUAGAUAAGAUCUUUUUUAAUGUAACAGGCAUUCGAUU